AACGCACAUUGCGCCCUAUGGUAUUCCGUAGGGCAUGCCUGUUCGAGCGUCAUUUACAACCUCAAGCUCAGCUUGGUGAUGGGUGACUGUGGCCCCCCGCGGGCCACUCGCCUCAAAGUCAUUGGCGGCCGGUACGUAGGCUUCGAGCGCAGCACAUUUGCGUCCUCGUGGCUCUCCGAUUGGCUCCCAGAAGCUAUUUCUCAUGUUUGACCUCGAAUCAGGUAGGGAUACCCGCUGAACUUAA
RNAcentral lists this unclassified non-coding RNA (244 nucleotides) under uncultured Pleosporales. RNAcentral describes it as "sequence contains 5.8S rRNA gene, ITS2, 28S rRNA gene". The stretch from base 1 to 52 matches the Rfam family "5.8S ribosomal RNA", at positions 103 to 154 of the family's 154-position model. Lineage: Eukaryota; Fungi; Ascomycota; Dothideomycetes; Pleosporales. The record is from RNAcentral.